CCCUAAAUUUUCACCCCUAAUGUUGGUAUCCUCAAAACACCCAAGGGUUUCUCUCUGCCACCACCGUCUUCAUCAUCAUCUUCCCCUCUCUCCCUCUUUUUGCAUACAUCUCAGAAGAGCUCAUACUUUAUCUGUUUCUUAUGUGACUCUGAAGCCUCUUUCUUUCCUUCAACAUACCCAAGGUAAAGUUUUCUCAACUUCUUCUCAAUCAUUUAUUUCCUUCUUUUUCUGUUUUAAUUCAUGUGACUUUGCUUUUCUCAACUUAUUCUCAAUCAUUUAUUUCCAUUUCCUUCAACAUUCAACUUCUUUAUCUGUUUUAAUUUUUCACUUUCUCUUCUGCAUUUCAGUUACGUUUUCUGUUCGUUUACUCAGAAAAUGAUACCACUUUUUUCUCUCUGUUAUCAUUUACUUCGAAGGAUGUUUUAUCAUUCUAUUAUCAUGUUCCCUCCUGGCCCAAAAGUAACAGGGUUUAUGAAAUAUUUUCAAAUUGUCUUCACCCCUGGGCAAGAUAAAUACUUCACAUGCGAUCAGAUGGGCCAUAUAGCGGCAAAUUGUGAAGGAAAGGCAAAGAGGAAGGAAGGAGAAUUUGAUGAGAAAGCUGAUGGAAAAACUGUGGCCAGAAAGCCAUAUCAGUUCUUGAACAUAUGGACCCUUAGGGAGUAUCUGGAAUGUGAGAUGAGAAUCCCCAAUCCUCCUUUUGAAAUUGACUUGGAACGCGUUUAAUUCUCUGUUUUAAUUCUCUAUUUUUUCCUUCAUUUUUUAAUGUUAAAUUUAUCCUUUCAGCCCCAUCGAUUUUGGAUCUCAUAAUUUAUUUUUGGUUCUUAGGUUCAGUGAGCUAUAUUGGGUGCUUUUCGGGAGAUUUUCUUUCAUUUUCCUUUCUCUUAUUUCAGUGGAUUUAUUUUUGGUUCUCCUACUGCGUAUGUUGAUUCACGAAUUCUAAAAGCUGUUGCUAUCGAGAACUCUAAGGAUGUGGACGCAGCUGCGGAGAUUGUUCUGUCUGAGACUCUGCCUUACCUAUCUAAAUGAACCGUGGCUGGUAGUUCUUCCUCAUGGAAUCGGAGCCCUCCUGUGCAAGAAAAUGAAGGUAGCUGUCCGUUGCAAAGUCGCUUUUGCGGACUCGGCUUCGGCUCAAACUUGAUCCAGCUAAUAAGCUAUAUUUUCCAUUUUGAUGAGCAGAAGGAUCAAGUUGCAAUAGAACAAAUACUACGGGUUGUUUUCCUAGAUCCUAAGCGUCCUUGUCUUGUAAGUCCCAUUAGCUUGUUACUCCCGUUUCCACAACUAUAUGUGCCUUCAUUCACGUUUGCUUCUGCUUUUAGACAUUUGCUUUGUUUGCUUUGUUUCUUGCUUGGGACCAGCUGCUAAUAAGAAGCCUGUCACUGAUCAGCAGUAUCAGAAAGGUAGACUCUUGUGGUUUAUUUCAAGUUAUACUUUAUCUUGAUUGCCUUACGAAGUUUGUUUGGUUGUGUAUAGUUUUUAUUUGCAAUGAUUUAUGCGUGAGUGCUUUGACCUGACAAGUUGACUGCUAGUUGGUUAUUGUGUUUUUGUUUAUUGGUUUUAAUUUUCUGAGGUGGAUCUGUUACAGUCUUCUUAAAAUUCAAGUUCUUUCAGUUAUUCACUUGAAGAUAUGGCGGAAUUUAUACAAAGUCGUUUCCUUCCAGAUUAACGUUUUGUCUCAGAUUAACGUUUGAAAAACAGAAAUAUGGAUCUGCUGCUGUUUGAUUUCAGAGAAAAUAAGGAAACUACAAAAAGGUAUGUUUUAUAUUAUUGCUCCUUUUGAUUAUUUAUAUUAUAAGAACUACAUUUGUUCAUUCAUAUGGAGGUUUUGCAGGCGCUGCUAUGGCUAUUAUUUCAUUCUUCACGGCUUGAAACUGAAAUUGCAAACUUUGAAUAAUAUGAUCUUAAUUAUGGUUAACAAGAUAAAGUUUUAGCUAUCAAUUUUGGUAAGGAUUAAUAUGCAAUUUAUACCUCAACUUGUCUCAACUUAUAUUUUGUUUCCCACCUAAACACACUAACGUCAUUAAUUUACACUUACAUGAAAUGUAAUAGCUUCUCAAAUUUUUAUUCUUUUAAAUUUUGUUGUUUCAAAAUUGCAGGAACUUAGAGAAGCUUCAGCUAAUAUUGAACCAAAGCAUCAAAACGACGUUGCAGAUUUAAUAAAUAGUUACAUAAGUUUAUACCCAAAAUGGGUUUUUGAUCUCAGGCACUUAGAUUAAGGUCGAAUGAGCUAAAAUUGGAGAGGCAAUUGGAGAACACAGAGGCUGAAAUUUCUUCUUUCAGGUAUGCUGUAAUUUUUCUUUUUUUUUGUUCUUGUGGUUAUUGCUGCCCCUGUUUCUGGGAGGUGAUUGUGUAAACAUUUUAGUGUGCUUUAGUUAUUGUAAGAAUAUUUUUAACAUUGUUAAUUUUAAUAUUAUUGUAAGAAUAUUUUGAAUUAUAAUUCAGUUAUCAAUUUAUAUCA
Gossypium raimondii (Peruvian cotton) is the source of this 2455-nucleotide long non-coding RNA. RefSeq lists it as uncharacterized. Lineage: Eukaryota; Viridiplantae; Streptophyta; Magnoliopsida; Malvales; Malvaceae. The transcript has 4 exons. The record is from RefSeq and is a predicted model, not a curated record.